RNAcentral lists this ribosomal RNA (301 nucleotides) under uncultured bacterium. RNAcentral describes it as "partial 16S ribosomal RNA". It matches the Rfam family "Bacterial small subunit ribosomal RNA", at positions 509 to 807 of the family's 1533-position model. The record is from RNAcentral.
CAGCAGCCGCGGGAAUACGUAGGGGGCAAGCGUUAUCCGGAAUUACUGGGUGUAAAGGGAGCGUAGACGGUUAAACAAGUCUGAAGUGAAAUACCGGGGCUCAACCCCGGAGCUGCUUUGGGAACUGUAGGACUGGAGUGUCGGAGGGGUAAGCGGAAUUCCCAGUGUAGCGGUGAAAUGCGUAGAUAUUGGGAGGAACACCGGCGGCGAAGGCGGCUUACUGGACGACAACUGACGUUGAGGCUCGAAGGCGUGGGUAGCAAACAGGAUUAGAUACCCGUGUAGUCCCUGUCUCUUAUAC